UACAGAGGGUGCAAGCGUUGUUCGGAAUUAUUGGGCGUAAAGGGCGCGUAGGCGGUGCGGUAAGUCUGCGGGGAAAUCUCCCGGCUCAACUGGGAGGCUGCCGUGGAAACUGCCGCGCUUGAGUGUGGGAGAGGUGAGUGGAAUUCCCGGUGUAGCGGUGAAAUGCGUAGAUAUCAAGCGGAACACCGGUGGCGAAGGCGGCCGACUGGGCCGACCCUGAUGCUGAGGCGCGAAGGCGUGGGGAGCGAACGGG
RNAcentral lists this ribosomal RNA (253 nucleotides) under uncultured bacterium. Its description in RNAcentral is "partial 16S ribosomal RNA". It matches the Rfam family "Bacterial small subunit ribosomal RNA", at positions 524 to 776 of the family's 1533-position model. The record is from RNAcentral.